This 279-nucleotide unclassified non-coding RNA is filed under the name plant metagenome. RNAcentral's name for it is "partial contains small subunit ribosomal RNA, internal transcribed spacer 1, and 5.8S ribosomal RNA". The record is from RNAcentral.
UCUCCGUAGGUGAACCAGCGGAAGGAUCAUUAACGAGUUAAGAACUUCGAAACUCUUGUGUACAAACAACUGUUUACAUUAGCUUUUGAUUUGGGACUCUGAUUAUUCCCACCACUCACAACCACUAACCUGUCUUCUGUCUGAAUGAUUAUUUACUAAUCAAAACUUUAAACAACGGAUCUCUUGGUUCUCCCAUUGAUGUAGAACGCAGCAGAUCGGAAGAGCAAGCGUAUCAACACCAGUCACGUAUAAUCACCAGUUAUGCCGACAUAUGUUUGA